This is a long non-coding RNA of Mytilus trossulus (common blue mussel), 4586 nucleotides long. RefSeq lists it as uncharacterized. Lineage: Eukaryota; Metazoa; Mollusca; Bivalvia; Mytilida; Mytilidae. The transcript has 3 exons. The record is from RefSeq and is a predicted model, not a curated record.
AAAUAGAGGAACUAGAAAUGCUCACGAGAGAUAUGUGUUAUAAGAUGCACAACUCGAGACUAAAACUGAUAAGUAUAAGUGCGUAAUGGCUGGUUGACAAUUAUCACUCAAUCUUAAAAACUUUUUAUUUAAAGUCUAUUUUAGAUUUUAAGCAAGUGUAUAUAUUCUUGGAGUGUGUAUAUAGUUAGACUUUUAACCAUAUUACCCUCAAAAGAGGGGUGUUCCUACCAGAGGAAGCUUAUACGAAGAAAAGAAGAAGUAAAACUCUUCACAAUAAAAGGUAGAUUCAAUGUUAAUAACAGAAGGAGGGAAAUCAACAAAUAUGCAGAAGGAUAGAAAAUAAUGGUAUUUUUUAUGAAUAUGGUGUAGCCAAAAACUUAUUUUCAUUGAAAGAGUGUAACAAAGACAUAGUAAACCAUGUGGCCAAGACAUUCCCACUGCCAUUGGGAUAAGUCUGAUCCUGAUCAGAUAGUCUAGACAUUACUCAUGAGGCUAGACUAUCGAUAUCAUGUCUAGGUUUCAGACUCACAUAACAUAAUUUUAAAUGCAUACGCUGCAAACAUGGACAGGAGUUGGGUUGCAGUGGACAAGAAGACAAAAUGAGUUGCUGUCAUCUUUUCAUGAUCGCGACCCUUGCAAAUCUAGCAACGAAAAUUCGAAGGCAAAACUUUCAGUUUCAUUUGGUUCUGGUUAAUGUUGAAGAUAUGAUAGGAGAUCAUAUAGAUAUUCGGUGAUCCAAAAAUAACUGGAGUUCAUGAAACAAGACUGAUUGCUGGGACACAUUUUUGUUGAUAAACAUGUUUAUGAUGAAGAAAAACUUAUAUAGUAUUACGGAUACUUGAAUAAGGCUCUGACCUGUCUUUGAUUUUUCCUGUUGGUGUUAAAAAAUUGCAAGCUCAAAUAAAAAUAAAUUGAAAUGUAACUCAUGGAUAUGCUUUGAAAAAAAGAAAUAAACAGCAAUGUGAAUCUCGCCGAAGUCUUACCAACAACCAAGUCAACACACAGUUGCAACACAAAUGAGAAGUGAGAGACAUUUGCAAGGACUUAGAGUGUUCUCACUGUCUCACCAUCAGAAUGGCUUUCUCAUCAGCAAAGAAGAAGUAUAAAAAUUCCUUCUGUAUUAAAAGGUCAUUAAUAUUGAAGACAAUCAAGAAAAUUACGGUUGUACUUGGCCAUUUGAUAAACAUUAUAAUAUAUUCAUUUGUCAGAAAUUGUUACUUAGAUUGACUAACUAGUUUUAUUGAUUGAGUUAUUAGUAAAUUACCUUUUGUAGUUCAUGUAGUUACAUAUAUAUGUAAAUUUUUAUCAGAUAGUAUGGAAAUAAUUUAAUACGUCCCUAAAUUCCAUACCUAAUGCAACAAUUGUCUUGUGCUGCUAAGUCAAUUUGAAUUAACUUUUAUGUAUGUUUAUAGUAAUCUUAUUCUUGCAUUUAAGCAUCAUUUUGUGUUAUUGUAUCAUCUGCAUUGAUUGUUAAAUAUAAUACUAAUACUAUAAAUAAAAUAACAUUUAUGAUCAUUUAAACAGAUUGAAAUAUUUAUAAAUAUAUCAAUGCUAAAAGGAAUUUAGACAUUUUUCGAGGAGAAUUUAAGAAAUUACUACAACAAAAGCAAACGAAUAGUAUAUGCUCAACUGCAAUAUUAACUUUCUCACCAGAUAACCUGUCUAUUCUUCUUACCAGCACACUUGGUACAAUUAAAAACCUUAUAAUAAAUUGUUCAAAUAAGGCCUUCGAAAAUAGUGGAAUAAAUUACUUUUGGAGUGUCAAGAACUCGUUGGAAGUACUUGAUAAAUUGCAUGCUCAUAUUGGUGAUUUUGAAUCUGUUCAAAGUUUUGAUUUUUCUACCCUGUAUACCACAUUGCCUCACAUUCUCAUUAAGAAAAAAUUCACACACCUAAUUAAAUGGGCAUUCAAAAAAUCAGAAUGUGAAUAUAUAUGUUCAAACUCUUUUAGGUCAUUUUUUAGUAGCAAUAAACAAAAAAACUAUGUUAAUUGGACAUGCUUUGAUACUAUAUAUUCCCUUGAAUUUUUACUAGAUAACAUUUUUGUUCGCUUUGGGGAUUCCGUAUAUCGUCAGAUUAUCGGAAUUCCAAUUUGGACUAACUGUGCACCACUUAUUGCGGACCUCUUUUUGUAUUGUUAUGAGUUACAAUUUAUGACAAAAAUAAGCAAAGACCCAUCAAAACAACAUCUGAUAAACAAAUUUAAUAAUACUUUUAGAUAUUUGGAUGAUAUUUUGGCUCUCAAUAAUGACGACUUCAGUAUGUAUAUUAAUGAAAUUUAUCCUGCUGAACUUACUUUAAAUAAAGCUAAUACUAAUAAUGACCACUGCCCUUUCCUCGAUCUUGAUAUCUAUAUCACUAACGGAAAGCUGAAUACUAAAAUUUAUGAUAAAAGGGAUGAUUUUUCAUUUCCUAUCGUUAAUUAUCCGUUUUUAGAUGGUGACGUUCCCUUGUCACCAUCUUACGGUGUUUAUUUAUCUCAACUUGUACGAUUCGCUCGUGUUUGUAACAAUGUUUUAGAUUUUAACGAGAGAAAUUUAUGUAUUACUGAAAAAUUAUUACACCAGGGUUUUCGAUAUCACAAACUAGUCAAAACUUUUACUAAAUUUUAUCAUCGGUAUAAAGACAUCAUUUGUAAAUAUAGCUCAACAUGCAGACUUUUUAUACGUUCAGGUAUUUCACAUCCAAUUUUUUAUGGAAAUAUUCUUUAUAAAGCACAAAGGUGUCAGUAUUCACCUCAGAAACUUACAAAACCUUUAAAUAGACUGAUUAAGAAGGGAUAUAAUUACGAUACUGUUGUCAAGUCAUUAAAGAUUGCAUAUUUUGGCGUUAAUAUUGAGUCACUGAUAAGGUCUUUGCGUCGGAACUAAAGACAUUUAUUCUAAAAACAGUUGUUGGCAUGACACGGGUUAUGUUCUUCUCAUAUAUGUUAUGAUGGUAUGAUACUAAACCCCUAACGGGAAGGAUUGUGCCUGAUGUUCAUAUGAUGAAAUCAUAAUCUUUCAGUCAGUUUAAUUGAAGUCUGGAGCUGGCAUGUCAGUUAACUGCUAGUAGUCUGUUGUUAUUUAUAUAUUCUAAUAUGACGUCCUUCAAACGCUUUGAGUACACACCCGUGGUAAAAUUUGAAUAUAUUGCAUGGGCUGUUCCGAUUGUACUCCCACGUCAUAUGUUUUUUUAUGAAUAAGUUUCGCGACGUCAUAAUACGAUGACGUUAGAAUAUGAGCAUUUUACGGGAAAAUACACGCUUGAAAAACCGAAAAUCAUCACAACAUGGCAACGUAAACAAACAAUGCUAAAAUGUGUUAUAAGCCAUAUUUGUUUAAACAUUUAAGACAUAUAAGUAAAUAAUCAUUUAAAAUAAUUCAAAACUAUCUAUAUGCGUUAUUUUAAAUAGUUUAAGCAUGUCACUAAUUCAGUUUGCUCCGUUCUUUGACGCCAAUUUGAUAGUGUGUUUAUUUAUGGGAAUGGCAAAUAUUUGCCUCCACCUAGAGCGCUUCGAUCCAAAAGAAUUGCCGUAUUUGACCUAUUAGAAUCGAAAUAAUUCAUGGGGGCUUGAAUAUAUCUAGAUUUUACCACGGGUUGUCCCUUUAUGCCGAUAUUUUACCCCUCGCUAUCGCUCAGGAUAAAAUAUUUGUCUUAAAGGGCCAACCCGUGGUAAAAUCACGAUAUAUUCAAGCCCCCAUGAAUUAUUUCUUAAUUAUUGUCAUUUUGUUUAUUUUCUUUAGUUACAUCUUCUGACAUCAGACCCGGACUUCUCUUGAACUGAAUUUUAAUGUGCGUAUUGUUAUGCGUUUAUUUUUCUACAUUGGUUAGAGGUAUAGGGGGAGGGUUGAGAUCUCACAAACAUGUUUAACCCCGCCGCAUUUUUGCGCCUGUCCCAAGUCAGGAGCCUCUGGCCUUUGUUAGUCUUGUAUUAUUUUUAUAUUAGUUUCUUGUGUACAAUUUGGAAAUUAGUAUGGCGUUCAUUAUCACUGAACUAGUAUAUAUUUGUUUAGGGGCCAGCUGAAGGACGCCUCCGGGUGCGGGAAUUUCUCGCUACAUUGAAGACCUAUUGGUGACCUUCUGCUGUUGUUUUUUAUUUGGUCGGGUUGUUGUCUCUUUGACACAUUCCCCAUUUCCAUUCUCAAUUUUAAUAGAGAUAUAUUUGUAUUUUAUUAAAUUGAUGAAGCGUACAAAAUGUAUGUUAGUUUAAAUAAAUAUGUACAUGCAAUUUUAAGGUUUUAAAAAAACGACAUUUUUAUUGGAUUAUCUCCCUUUGUACAAUAGAAAUUCAGAUUUAAUCAUCACUGUCUCAUGUACCUAUGAUCAAAACGACUUAUAUUGUUACCAGCAUGCAAGUAAAAGGUUGCAACUGUCUUAUCUUUGUUUACCUGUAGAACACAUAUUCUGAAUGUCAAUACUUAAGAUUUUUCAAUAUGAUGAACUUGACAUUAAAUUUCAUAUCAUUUUUGAGUAACCAGAAUAAAUCUUUAGUAAUUAGCAAGCUGCAAUAACCAAAAUAGGAUUACUAGGAAGAAAUGAAAGGAUUUUACUCUUUAAAGUAAUAAGGACAAGUGUACUGAAGGAAUUUGGAAUAAAAAAAAAUA